Molecule: long non-coding RNA, 1080 nt
Organism: Zingiber officinale
Lineage: Eukaryota; Viridiplantae; Streptophyta; Magnoliopsida; Zingiberales; Zingiberaceae
Exons: 5
Source: RefSeq, a predicted model, not a curated record
UGCCCUAAACCUCGCCCGAUCCCUCUCCUCCUCCCCUCUCGCGCGACGUCGGUUCUUCUUCCUCUUCCCCAACCGAAGCGCCAACGUCGCCGCCGCUUGCGAUGCCUCCUCUCCCCCGCGUACAAAAGCAGUGGCCAAGGAGAUGAAUCCUUUCUCUACCCAACUCGUCCUCUGUUCCUCGCACAUUCGAUUCCUUGCGAUCGACGAUUCUUCUCUCUGUCUCUCGGUGUCACCGGCGAGGAGUCGAUCUUGGAGCCUUGAAGGGGGAAAAGGUCGGAGGAAAAUCGGGGCUACCGGUGUCAGAUCUGUCCAACACCAGCCAUUUGGGUGAAGGGACAGCUAUUGUCUUCACCAACUGUUGUCCGAUCUUCCUCUCUGUUUGUCAACGAGGACGUACCAUGCCCUAGUUGUGAUCCUGGAGUAGGUGCGAUUGGUUCCGGUCACCUCUGUCAUCAACAGGGGAUAAUCUCCUUCACCGGAUCCAUGAUCAGCACCGACGAUUGAAGAGGAAGAGGGAGUGAGGUGGUUUCCAGCAGCUACUCCUUCUCGUCAACAACAUCUCUAGCUGUGGAUCAACAGCAAUGGCUGUGAGAUUUAGGACUAUGAUUUGCGACGAGCUGCCUUACGUGGGAUUUCUUUUGGCACGCGCUAUUUUGAGAUGAGUACCUUAACUUAUCUUUUAGAUAUUAUCAUUUGAUAUGCAUAGUGGAUUUUAAUGAGUGGUAAUAAUUAUGUUAUAUUUGCAUCAAUAUUUCAUUGUUUGAUUCUUUCAGCAUGCUUAUUUAUUACAUGUUUUGCAUCCAUUACCCUCUUGAUUAUUUAUGGUGGCAACCCUCUUGGUUAUUUAUGCUCAUAGAGGUAGUGACAUACCAUGUCUUAUGAUAUACCGGACUAAACAUUUACCAUAUCUAAUAUGUGUACCUAGAUCUUCUUAAUUGAGUCAUUUAUUUUUUGUACAUGUUUUAUGGAGAUAGAUAUGGUCAGGAUUUUCAUGCUUAGUGUUAUGUACCAUCUCGCAUGAUUGCAUACUGAGCGAUUGUCAGCUCUAUUAUUGUUGAGCACAUCGUCAGUUACAUGGAU